GUAGGUGGCAAGCGUUGUCCGGAAUUAUUGGGCGUAAAGCGCGCGCAGGCGGUUCUUUAAGUCUGAUGUGAAAGCCCACGGCUCAACCGUGGCGGGUCAUUGGAAACUGGAGAACUUGAGUACAGAAGAGGAAAGCGGAAUUCCACGUGUAGCGGUGAAAUGCGUAGAGAUGUGGAGGAACACCAGUGGCGAAGGCGGCUUUCUGGUCUGUAACUGACGCUGAGGCGCGAAAGCGUGGGGGAGCAAACAGGAUUAGAUACCCUGGUAGUCCACGCCGUAAACGAUGAGUGCUAAGUGUUAGGGGGUUUCCGCCCCUUAGUGCUGCAGCUAACGCAUUAAGCACUCCGCCUGGGAGUACGGCCGCAAGGCUG
This 371-nucleotide ribosomal RNA is filed under the name uncultured organism. RNAcentral's name for it is "partial 16S ribosomal RNA". It matches the Rfam family "Bacterial small subunit ribosomal RNA", at positions 527 to 896 of the family's 1533-position model. The record is from RNAcentral.